UAGUCAGUGCGAACGGGUAGUAACACGUGGGUAACCUGCCCCUCGCAGGGGGAUANCCGGGGGAAACCCCGGCUAAUACCCCGUAAGCUUACAAAGCGGCAUCGCUUUGUAAGGAAAGGUAGCUUCGGCCAUCCGGCGAGGGAUGGGCCCGCGGUGCAUUAGCUAGUUGGUGGGGUAACGGCCCACCAAGGCGACGAUGCAUAGCUGGUCUGAGAGGAUGAUCAGCCACACUGGGUCUGAGACACGGCCCAGACUCCUACGGGAGGCAGCAGUCGGGAAUCUUGCGCAAUGGGCGAAAGCCUGACGCAGCAACGCCGUGUGGGUGACGAAGGCCUUCGGGUCGUAAAGCCCUGUUGUUGGGGACGAAGGAGUAAGGGGUUAAUAGCCCCGAGCCUGACGG
Molecule: ribosomal RNA, 400 nt
Filed under: uncultured bacterium
Lineage: Bacteria
Description: bacterial SSU rRNA
Rfam family: Bacterial small subunit ribosomal RNA
Source: RNAcentral